Molecule: long non-coding RNA, 2249 nt
Organism: Callithrix jacchus (white-tufted-ear marmoset)
Lineage: Eukaryota; Metazoa; Chordata; Mammalia; Primates; Cebidae
Source: Ensembl
AAAUAUAUUAUAAACAAUAGAUAUUAUAUACGUAUUAACUGUGAUGAAUGCCGUUGUGCCAUUCGAAUGGUUUUCUUCAGAGGCAGUGCCAGGAGUGGGGCUGAGGCAAUUCCGGGGAUGCUCUGCCUGUGCCAGCCCCGCUUCCAGCCUCAGGUGCCUGUUUCCCUUCUCUCCUCUCCAUUGGAACAAUUCCACCAGGAAUCCCAAUUUCUUAGAUUCAACAAACAAUUCUUGAUCCCACUUGCCUUUCCAGCAACUGCCCCGUUUCUCUGCUCCUCUUGACAGUGACUUGUGGAAUUAUUUGUACUCUCGAUCCCCAUCCAAUUCUCUCCUCCAACUCCACCAAAACUGCUUUUUCCAAGAUUGCCAAUGACUUCCACAUGGCCAACUCCAUGAGUCUUCGUCUUACUUGACUUUGCAGCAGAAGCACUUUACCUAUUUCCGAGACACUACAAUCUCUGGCCACUGCUUCUCAGUUUUUUCUGGUUCUGCCUCAUCUUCCUCACCCCCAUGUUCUUACCAUCCCAAGGCUCAUUCCUGAGACCUCUUUUCUAACUGUCUACUUGACUUCUUGAUAUCUAGUGGCAUCUUGAAUUUCGUAUUUCCAAAACUGAGCCCUUGAUGUUCUGCUCUCCAAAUUAGCUCUUCCCACAGUCUUUCUUAUGUCAGUUAACAGCCAUUCUCUUCUUCCAAGGCGCUCAAAACAAAAACCCUGGCAUUAAUAGUAAUGUCAGCAAAAUGACAGGGUAGGCAGCUUCACAGAAAUACCAAAAACAAGCAGAAACUGUCAGAAUCAACUUUGUCAGAACUCCAGAAAACAAGCAAAGGUUCACAUCAACAACUGAACACCGAAUCAAGAAGAGGUAGCUUCUGACUGUAGAGUGAUUACCAGGGUGGUGGCAGGCAAGAAUGAGGAGUUAUUGUUAAAGAAGUUUGUUUGGGUUGAUUAAAAAGUUCUGGAGAGGCCGGGCGUAGUGGCUCACACCUGUAAUCUCAGCACUUCGGGAGCAGAGGCAGGCGGAUUACCUGAAGUUAGGAGUUUGAAACCAGCCUGGCCAAUAUGGUGAAACCCUGUCUGUACUGAAAAAUACAAAAAAAAAAAUUAGCCAGGCGUGGUGGCACAUGCCUGUAGUCCCAGGUACUUGGGAGGCUGAGGCAGAGAAUCUCUUGAACCCAGGAGACGGAGGUUGCAGAGAGCUGAGAUCGUAACACUGUACUCCAGCCUGUGUGACAGUGAGACCCUGGCUCAAAAAAACAAAAAAGUUCUGGUGAUGGACAGAGUGUUGGUUGCACAACAUGAAUGUGCUUCAUGUCACUGAACUGCACACUUAUUAAUAAAAACAAUUAAAAUGGUAAACUUUAUAUUAUGUAUAGUUUACCACAAUAAAAAUAUAUGAUACAGGGGAAGAAAAAACCAUAGGCAAACCGUGUGGCAUUUUACUACUCCUUGCCCUGGGCCCGGCUUGACAGCAGUCUUAAAGACAUCAGCCCACAUUCUAUUGUGGGAUCCUGGUUUCUCUUUCUAGAAAGGGCAGAGCGGACAUCAAAUUAUUGUGUAGGUCUGCUCUGAUCUGUCUCAGGGCUAUUCAAAAAACUGAUGCAAGGCAUUUAUCUCUGCUUUGCUUAAUGCAGAACAUACCCAGGCCAGAAAAGUGGCAGGCGGUACUCUAUAAACAUUAUAAGGCUGACACAAAAACCCGGCAAAUGUCUGAGGCAAAAGAUUUUGGCUGCAACAUAUAAUAGACUGCCUAAAGCCUAGAAAAAAAAAUCCAAGGAAAGUGUUUCUUUGGGAAAUUAGGGGACUCCCAAGCAUCCCUGUAUGUGGAGGAAUUUUCAAAGCUUCGUUAAAGACCUCAAACUUUCACCUCAGGUUUGUCCAUAGCGGAAUUUUGCAUAAGAGUUGAAGGAGAGCUAGAGAACAGAAGCAACCUGCAGACAGAAAGAGAUGUUUUUGUUUGUUUAGCUUGUGUCAUUCAAAGAAAUCUGUCAAAACACGAGUCGGUCACAAGCUAAGAAAGAGCAACUUCAGUGACCAGGGACAACAUGAAAAGGAAUACAAUCAACAACAAAAUAUAUAGAAAAAGCCACUAGACAAAUGGACUACUACAGCCUUCAACCAAAUAACCAACUAAACAAACUAAAAGCCCAGAAAAACCUGGAGGAGAGUUAAAAGACAGUUAUUUACAUGAGUUAAAAGAUGAAUGAAUAAAACAAUUAUAAAUCUGUUAUUGGGCACAUAUGCAUGAAGA